ACGCUCGACACCUACGGAGGCAGCAGUGGGGAAUAUUGCACAAUGGGGGAAACCCUGAUGCAGCGACGCCGCGUGGAGGAAGAAGGUCUUCGGAUUGUAAACUCCUGUUGUUGGGGAAAAAGAGGAUGGUACCCAACAAGGAAGUGACGGCUAACUACGUGCGAGCAGCCGGACGGUAAUCUGAGGCGGGCGUGGACGAAGGC
This 203-nucleotide ribosomal RNA is filed under the name uncultured bacterium. RNAcentral's name for it is "partial 16S ribosomal RNA". It matches the Rfam family "Bacterial small subunit ribosomal RNA", at positions 328 to 545 of the family's 1533-position model. The record is from RNAcentral.